This 1331-nucleotide ribosomal RNA is filed under the name Elymnias hypermnestra (common palmfly). RNAcentral describes it as "16S ribosomal RNA". The record is from RNAcentral. Lineage: Eukaryota; Metazoa; Arthropoda; Insecta; Lepidoptera; Nymphalidae.
GGGGGAAAAAUUAAUAAAUUAUAAAAUAAUAAAAUAAAUUUUAAAAUUAAAAAUAAAUAAUGGGGGUUAAAGUAUUUUUAAUAAAAAAAAUUUAUAAUUUUAUAAAAAAUUAGUAUUGUAAAAGAAAUUUGAAAUAAUUUAAAUAAAAAUUUUUAGUAAAGAAGAUUUAAUUUAUUGUAUCUUGUGUAUCAGAGUUUAUUAAAUAAUUAUUAAAGAAAAUAAUAAUCUCGAAUUUAAAAGAGAUAAUUAACUAUAAAAGUUAAUGUAGUAUAAUUAUUUUUAAUAGUUAAUUUGAAAUGAAAUGUUAAACGUUUUUAAAAAUAUCUAGUUAUUUCAGAAAAAAAUUUAAUUUUGAAUUUAAGUAAUUUUAUAAUUUUAUAAAUAAUUAUAAAAUAAUUAAUUUUAAUGUUUUGGGGGAUAAGCUUUAAAAUAAAAUUUUAUAAUAAUUUUUAAAAUAAAUUAAAAUUUUUAAAAUUUAUAUUGUUUAAAAAUUAAAAUUUUUUAUAAAAAAUUUUAAUUUAAAUAAAAUUUUAAUUAAAAAUUUAAAUUUAUAUGAAAUAAUAGUUUUAAAUUAAAUAAAAUUAAAAAUAAUGAUAAAAUUAGUAUAUAAUAAAAAAAAAAGUAAUUAAAAUAUAAAAUUAAUUUAAAGGAAUUCGGCAAAUAGAAUUAUUCACUUGUUUAUCAAAAACAUGUCUUUUUGAAGUUAAUUUAAAGUCUAAUCUGCCCACUGAUAAAUAUUAAAGGGCUGCAGUAUAUUGACUGUACAAAGGUAGCAUAAUCAUUAGUUUUUUAAUUGAAAACUUGUAUGAAGGAUUUGAUGAAAUAAUAACUGUCUCUAAAUUAAAAAUAUAAUUUUAUUUUUUAGUAAAAAAGCUAAAAUAAAUUUAAAAGACGAGAAGACCCUAUAGAGUUUUAUAAAAAAAUUAUUUAAAAUUUUAUAUUUAAUUUUUAAAUUUAAUUAAGUUUUAUAUUUUAUUGGGGUGAUAGAAAAAUUAAAUUAACUUUUUUUAAAUAAUAGAUAUUAAUGAAUAAAUAAAUGAUCCAUAAAUAAUGAUUAUAAGAAAAAAUUACCUUAGGGAUAACAGCGUAAUAUUAUUUUUUAGUUCAAAUAAAAAAUAAAGUUUGCGACCUCGAUGUUGGAUUAAGAUAAAAUUUAAAUGUAAAAGUUUAAAAUUUUGAUCUGUUCGAUCAUUAAAAUCUUACAUGAUCUGAGUUCAAACCGGUGUGAGCCAGGUUGGUUUCUAUCUUUAAAUAAUAAUAAUAUUUUAGUACGAAAGGAUCAAAUAUUAAAAAUAAUUUUAUAAAAUGAAUAUUAAUAAUAAUAUAGUAAA